AAGUCGUAACAAGGUCUCCGUAGGUGAACCUGCGGAGGGAUCAUUACCGAGUGAGGGCCCCCGGCCCGACCUCCAACCCUUUGUCAUCAAAACCACUGUUGCCUCGGGGGCGACUCGGGCCCGUCGGCCCAGGGCCCCCGGUGGACAAUUUCAAAACACUGCAUCUUUGCGUCGGAUUACAAAAGUUUAAUUGAUUAAAA
RNAcentral lists this unclassified non-coding RNA (200 nucleotides) under plant metagenome. RNAcentral describes it as "partial contains small subunit ribosomal RNA and internal transcribed spacer 1". The stretch from base 1 to 46 matches the Rfam family "Eukaryotic small subunit ribosomal RNA", at positions 1786 to 1831 of the family's 1831-position model. The record is from RNAcentral.